AUCUACCAUGAAAAAGAGUUUAAUAUGCCUUACUACAAAUGUAGAAUGUGUUUAAAAAUUUUAAAACAACAAUAAAGAUCAUAGGUUUCAGUAUAUAGAGCAUUAACCGAAAAAUUCAAUAUUUUCGUAGGGGUUAACCCAUAGAUUUUGAGAAAAUUUCAAAAAUAUGAAAAUACUGUUUUAAUGCAUAGUUGCAUCAUUCACUAACAUAUGAUGAAGGCCAAAUAUGUUUGGAAUUUUUGUUGUCUCAGUUUUUGUAGAAAAUAGCUAUUUUAUGUUGGUUAGUCUACCAAUUUAGGGAAUAUUAUGAAGUUUUACUAAAUUAAUUGACAAAAAAAUGAAAAUGAUGCCCAUGUACCAUGAAAGAGAGUUUAAUAUAAAUUUAAUACAAAUGUAGAAUGUGUUUAGAAAUAUUAAAACAACACUAAAGAUCAUAGGCUUGAGUAUAUAGAGCAUUAACCGAAAAAUUCAAUAUUUUAAUAGGGGUUAACCCAUAGAUUUUGAGAAAAUUUAAAAAAUAUGAAAAUACUGUUUUAAUGCAUAGUUGCAUCCUUCACUAACAUAUGAUGAAUGUCAAAGAGGUUUGAAACUUUUGUUGUCUCCAUUUCUCUAGAAAAUAGCGAUUUUAUAGUGGUUGAUCCAUCUAUUUAGGGAGUAUUAUGAAGUUUUACUAAAUUAAUUGAUAAAAAAAUUAAAACAAUGCCCAUGUACCGUGAAAGAGAGUUUAAUAUACAUUAAUACAAAUGUAGAAUGUGUUUAGAAAUUUUAAAACAACACAGAAGAUCACAGGCUUAAGUAUAUAGAACAUCUACUGAAAAACACAUAGAUUUAGAGAAAAUUUCAAAAAAAUAAAUUUUUGUUUUAAUGCAUAGUUGCAUCCUUCACCAACAUAUGAUGAAGGUCAAAGAGGUUUGAAACUUUUCUUGUCUCCGCUUCUCUAGAAAAUAGCGUUUUUAUAGUGGUUAGUCCACCAAUUUAAGGAGUAUUACGAAGUUUUACUAAAUUAAGUGACAAAAAAUUAAAACGAUGUCCAUAUACCAUGAAAGAGAGUUUAAUACACAUUACUACAAAUGUAGAAUGUGUUUAGAAAUAUUAAAACAACACUAAAGAUCAUAAGCUUCAGUACAUAGAGCAUUAACUGAAAAAUUCAAUAACCCAUAGAUUUUGAGAAAAUUUCAAAAAUAUGAAAAUACUGUAUUAAUGCAUAGUUGCAUCCUUCACUAACAUAUGAUGAAGGUCAAAGAGGUUUGAAACAUUUGUUGUCUCUAUUUCUAUAGAAAAUAGCGAUUAUAGUGGUUGAUCCACCAUUUAGGGAGUAUUAUGAAGUUUUACUAAAUUAAUUGAUAAAAAAUUAAAAUGAUGCCCAUGUACCAUGAAAGAGAGUUUAAUAUAUAUUACUACAAAUGUAGAAUGUGUUUAGAAAUAUUAAAACAACACUAAAGAUCAUAGGCUUCAGUAUAUAGAGCAUUAACCGAAAAAUUCAAUAUUUUAAUAGAGGUUAACCCAUAGAUUUUGA
Molecule: long non-coding RNA, 1516 nt
Organism: Brassica rapa (field mustard)
Lineage: Eukaryota; Viridiplantae; Streptophyta; Magnoliopsida; Brassicales; Brassicaceae
Source: RefSeq, a predicted model, not a curated record